This 420-nucleotide ribosomal RNA is filed under the name uncultured bacterium. RNAcentral's name for it is "bacterial SSU rRNA". It matches the Rfam family "Bacterial small subunit ribosomal RNA", at positions 355 to 774 of the family's 1533-position model. The record is from RNAcentral.
UAAGGAAUAUUGCUCAAUGGGAGAAAUCCUGAAGCAGCAACGCCGCGUGGAGGAUGAAGGGUCUAUGACUUGUAAACUCCUGUAAAGAAGGAAAAAAUUCCCAUUAGAUGGGAGAUGAUGGUACUUCUGGAGUAAGCCCCGGCUAACUACGUGCCAGCAGCCGCGGUAAUACGUAGGGGGCAAGCGUUGUCCGGAUUUACUGGGUGUAAAGGGCGCGCAGGCGGAAUGGAAAGUCAGUGGUGAAAUCCUACAGCUUAACUGUAGAACUGCCUUUGAUACUUUUAUUCUUGAGUUCGGGAGAGAGAGACGGAAUUCCAGGUGUAGUGGUGAAAUACGUAGAUAUCUGGAAGAACACCAGUUGCGAAGGCGGUCUCUUGGUCCGACACUGACGCUGAGGCGCGAAAGCGUGGGGAGCAAACA